This 398-nucleotide ribosomal RNA is filed under the name uncultured bacterium. RNAcentral's name for it is "partial 16S ribosomal RNA". It matches the Rfam family "Bacterial small subunit ribosomal RNA", at positions 523 to 918 of the family's 1533-position model. The record is from RNAcentral.
AUACGUAGGGGGCGAGCGUUGUCCGGAAUUACUGGGCGUAAAGAGCUCGUAGGUGGUUUGUCGCGUCGUCUGUGAAAUUCCGGGGCUUAACUCCGGGCGUGCAGGCGAUACGGGCAUAACUUGAGUACUGUAGGGGAGACUGGAAUUCCUGGUGUAGCGGUGAAAUGCGCAGAUAUCAGGAGGAACACCGGUGGCGAAGGCGGGUCUCUGGGCAGUAACUGACGCUGAGGAGCGAAAGCAUGGGUAGCGAACAGGAUUAGAUACCCUGGUAGUCCAUGCCGUAAACGGUGGGCGCUAGGUGUAGGGGUCUUCCACGACUUCUGUGCCGUAGCUAACGCAUUAAGCGCCCCGCCUGAGGAGUACGGCCGCAAGGCUAAAACUCAAAUGAAUUGACGGGG